AGAGUUUGAUCCUGGCUCAGAGUGAACGCUGGCGGCGUGGAUUAGGCAUGCAAGUCGAGCGAUUAGUCAAUUUGCUUGCAAAUUGACCAAUAGCGGCAAACUGGUGAGUAACACGUGAGCAAUUUUCCCAAAAAUCGAACAUAGCUUCGUGAAAACGGAGGUAAUAUUCGAUGUGGUGCUGAUACCGCAUGGUAUUAGUAUUAAAGGUGGGGACCUUCGGGCCUACCGUUUUUGGAUGAGCUCGCGGCCUAUCAGCUUGUUGGUGGGGUAACGGCCUACCAAGGCAUUUGACGGGUAGCUGGUCUGAGAGGAUGGUCAGCCACACUGGGACUGAGACACUGCCCAGACUCCUACGGGAGGCUGCAGUCGAGAAUCUUUAGCAAUGGGCGAAAGCCUGACUAAGCGACGCCGCGUGCAGGAUGAAGGUUUUCGGAUUGUAAACUGCUUUUGUUUGGAAAGAAAACCCUAAACUCUAACAUAGUUUAGGGCUGACGGUACCAGACGAAUAAGCCACGGCCAACUCCGUGCCAGCAGCCGCGGUAAUACGGAGGUGGCAAGCGUUACUCGGAAUUAUUGGGUAUAAAGGGCAAGUAGGCGGUUUAUUAAGUGAGGGGUGAAAUCUCCCGACUCAAUCGGGAAACUGCCUUUCAAACUAAUAGACUUGAGGUUGGAAGAGGGAAACGGAAUUAGCAGUGUAAGGGUGAAAUCUGUAGAUAUUGCUAAGAACACCAGCGGCGAAGGCGGUUUCCUGGUCCAAACCUGACGCUAAAUUGCGAAAGCUAGGGUAGCGAACAGAAUUAGAUACUCUGGUAGUCCUAGCCGUAAACGAUGACUACUAGGUGUUGGUCUUUUGAUCAGUGCCGCAGCUAACGCAUUAAGUACUCCACCUGGGGACUACGGCCGCAAGGCUAAAACUCAAAGGAAUUGACGGGGACCCGCACAAGCGGUGGAACAUGUGGUUUAAUUCGAUGCUACGCGAAGAACCUCACCAGGGCUUGACAUGUAUGAAGUAGUGAACCGAAAGGGGAACGAACCGUUAAGUCCGGAAACAUACACAGGUGCUGCAUGGCUGUCGUCAGCUCGUGUCGUGAGAUGUUGGGUUAAGUCCCGCAACGAGCGCAACCAUUGCUCCAUGUUGCUACCUCCACAAAUAUCACUUGUGAUAUGUGGAGCGCACUCAUGGGGGACUGCCUGGGAUAACUAGGAGGAAGGUGGAGAUGACGUCAAGUCAGUACGGCCUUUAUGCCCUGGGCUACACACGUGUUACAAUGGCAGGUACAAAGGGUUGCCAACCCGCGAGGGGGAGCUAAUCUCA
This 1315-nucleotide ribosomal RNA is filed under the name metagenome. RNAcentral's name for it is "bacterial SSU rRNA". It matches the Rfam family "Bacterial small subunit ribosomal RNA", at positions 8 to 1276 of the family's 1533-position model. The record is from RNAcentral.